UAGGGAAUCUUCGGCAAUGGACGAAAGUCUGACCGAGCAACGCCGCGUGAGUGAAGAAGGUUUUCGGAUCGUAAAACUCUGUUGUUAGAGAAGAACAAGGACGUUAGUAACUGAACGUCCCCUGACGGUAUCUAACCAGAAAGCCACGGCUAACUACGUGCCAGCAGCCGCGGUAAUACGUAGGUGGCAAGCGUUGUCCGGAUUUAUUGGGCGUAAAGCGAGCGCAGGCGGUUUCUUAAGUCUGCUGUGAAAGCCCCCGGCUCAACCGGGGAGGGUUAUUGGAAGAUGGGGUACGUGAGUGCAGAAGAGGAGAGUGGAAGUCCAUGUGUAGCGGUGAAAUGCGUAGAUAUAUGGAGGAACACCAGUGGCGAAGGCGGCUCUCUGGUCUGUAACUGACGCUCAGGUGCGAAGGCGUGGGGAGCAAACAGG
This 429-nucleotide ribosomal RNA is filed under the name Chloroflexota bacterium. RNAcentral describes it as "Chloroflexi bacterium partial 16S ribosomal RNA". It matches the Rfam family "Bacterial small subunit ribosomal RNA", at positions 355 to 776 of the family's 1533-position model. The record is from RNAcentral. Lineage: Bacteria; Bacillati; Chloroflexota.